RNAcentral lists this ribosomal RNA (253 nucleotides) under uncultured bacterium. RNAcentral's name for it is "partial 16S ribosomal RNA". It matches the Rfam family "Bacterial small subunit ribosomal RNA", at positions 524 to 776 of the family's 1533-position model. The record is from RNAcentral.
UACGAAGGGGGCUAGCGUUGUUCGGAAUUACUGGGCGUAAAGCGCGUGUAGGCGGUUGUUUAAGUCAGGUGUGAAAGCCUUGAGCUCAACUCAAGAAAUGCACUUGAUACUGGAUGACUAGAGGACCGGAGAGGAUAGUGGAAUUCCCAGUGUAGUGGUGAAAUACGUAGAGAUUGGGAAGAACACCAGUGGCGAAGGCGGCUAUCUGGACGGUUACUGACGCUAAGACUCGAAAGCGUGGGGAGCAAACAGG